AUACGUAGGGUGCGAGCGUUGUACGGAAUUACUGGGUGUAAAGGGAGCGUAGGCGGGAGUGCAAGUCAGAUGUGAAAUACAUGGGCUCAACCCAUGGGCUGCAUUUGAAACUGCAUUUCUUGAGUGAAGUAGAGGUAAGCGGAAUUCCUGGUGUAGCGGUGAAAUGCGUAGAUAUCAGGAGGAACACCGGUGGCGAAGGCGGCUUACUGGGCUUUUACUGACGCUGAGGCUCGAAAGCGUGGGGAGCAAACAGGAUUAGAUACCCUGGUAGUCCACGCUGUAAACGAUGAUCACUAGGUGUGGGGGGACUGACCCCUUCCGUGCCGCAGUUAACACAAUAAGUGAUCCACCUGGGGAGUACGGCCGCAAGGCUAAAACUUAAAGGAAUUGACGGGG
This 396-nucleotide ribosomal RNA is filed under the name uncultured bacterium. Its description in RNAcentral is "partial 16S ribosomal RNA". It matches the Rfam family "Bacterial small subunit ribosomal RNA", at positions 523 to 918 of the family's 1533-position model. The record is from RNAcentral.